CACGGAGUUAGCCGGGGCUUAUUCUCCCGGUACUGUCAUUAUCAUCCCGGGUAAAAGAGCUUUACAACCCUAAGGCCUUCAUCACUCACGCGGCAUUGCUGGAUCAGGCUUGCGCCCAUUGUCCAAUAUUCCCCACUGCUGCCUCCCGUAGGAGUCUGGGCCGUGUCCCAGUCCCAGUGUGGCUGAUCAUCCUCUCAGACCAGCUACAGAUCGUCGCCUUGGUAGGCCUUUACCCCACCAACUAGCUAAUCUGACGCGGGCUCAUCCUCGGGCGAUAAAUCUUUGAUCUCGCGAUAUCAUCCGGUAUUAGCAGUCGUUUCCAACUGUUAUCCCAGACCCAAGGGCAGAUUCCCACGCGUUACGCACCCGUGCGCCACUAUGCCCGAAAGCAUCGUUCGACUUGCAUGUGUUAGGCAUGCCGCAGCGUUCGUUCUGAGCCAGGAUCAAACUCU
Molecule: ribosomal RNA, 452 nt
Filed under: uncultured Sphingomonas sp.
Lineage: Bacteria; Pseudomonadati; Pseudomonadota; Alphaproteobacteria; Sphingomonadales; Sphingomonadaceae
Description: partial 16S ribosomal RNA
Source: RNAcentral